GAUGAACGCUGGCGGCGUGCUUAACACAUGCAAGUCGAACGGAAAGGCCUCUGCUUGCAGGGGUACUCGAGUGGCGAACGGGUGAGUAACACGUGGGUGAUCUGCCCUGCACUUCGGGAUAAGCCUGGGAAACUGGGUCUAAUACCGGAUAGGACAAUGGUUUGGAUGCUGUUGUGGAAAGUUUUUCGGUGUGGGAUGAGCUCGCGGCCUAUCAGCUUGUUGGUGGGGUAAUGGCCUACCAAGGCGUCGACGGGUAGCCGGCCUGAGAGGGUGUACGGCCACAUGGGGACUGAGAUACGGCCCAGACUCCUACGGGAGGCAGCAGUGGGGAAUAUUGCACAAUGGGCGCAAGCCUGAUGCAGCGACGCCGCGUGGGGGAUGACGGCCUUCGGGUUGUAAACUCCUUUCGCUAGGGACGAAGCGUUUUUGUGACGGUACCUGGAGAAGAAGCACCGGCUAACUACGUG
Molecule: ribosomal RNA, 467 nt
Filed under: uncultured bacterium
Lineage: Bacteria
Description: partial 16S ribosomal RNA
Rfam family: Bacterial small subunit ribosomal RNA
Source: RNAcentral